Molecule: ribosomal RNA, 490 nt
Filed under: uncultured bacterium
Lineage: Bacteria
Description: partial 16S ribosomal RNA
Rfam family: Bacterial small subunit ribosomal RNA
Source: RNAcentral
AUUGAACGCUGGCGGCAGGCCUAACACAUGCAAGUCGAAUGGUAACAGGAAACAGCUUGCUGUUUCGCUGACGAGUGGCGGACGGGUGAGUAAUGUCUGGGAAACUGCCUGAUGGAGGGGGAUAACUACUGGAAACGGUAGCUAAUACCGCAUAACGUCGCAAGACUAAAGAGGGGGACCUUCGGGCCUCUUGCCAUCAGAUGUGCCCAGAUGGGAUUAGCUAGUAGGUGGGGUAACGGCUCACCUAGGCGACGAUCGCUAGCUGGUCUCAGAGGAUGACAAGCGACACUGGAGCUGGGACACGGUCCAGACUCCUACGGGAGGCAGCAGUGGGGAAUAUUGCACAAUGGGCGCAAGCCUGAUGCAGCCAUGCCGCGUGUAUGAAGGAGGCGUUCGGGUUGUAAAGUACUUUCAGCGGGGAGGAAGGGAGUAAAGUUAAUACCUUGGCUCAUUGACGUUACCCGCAGAAGAAGCACCGGCUAACUCCGUG